This is an RNA transcript of Papaver somniferum (opium poppy), 2050 nucleotides long. RefSeq lists it as uncharacterized. The transcript has 8 exons. Lineage: Eukaryota; Viridiplantae; Streptophyta; Magnoliopsida; Ranunculales; Papaveraceae. The record is from RefSeq and is a predicted model, not a curated record.
GUUCGAGUGAGUAAAAAGAGUUUGGACUCCGAAUACAAGUACUCGGUAUACGUCUGAAACUCUGAAGUUACAUUAUAUACAGUGAUUUGAUCUCUCUCCGUGCUCUCUAUUAUACUCCUUAGGAAAUUCCUCAUAAAUCAAUAUCAUGCAGUCUGUAUCUCAUGGAUCUUAUGUUUUCAAAAAACCCUAUACUGAAUCCUCACUGUUUACCAAGAAGAAUCCAUUAAUUCACCAUGACUUUGCUCCUCCCAAGAAACUUGUGUUUCCAGUGUUGAAGAAGCAGAAACCACUUAUUGUCAAAUCUUCUAUCAAGGAUGUAGUCAAAACAUCUGCUGUAUUGACUAAUCAGAUAAUCCCGGUUUCAAUUUUUCAGUCCCUUGCAUCUUUUGAUAGAUGGGUUGUUCAAUCUGUAUCAGACUUGAUUGCCUUUAAACCUAAGGCUAAUAUACUCUCUAUCGGAUUCUUCGAAGAGGGAGAUUUAAUACAGUUGAACCACGAUGGGAACAGCAUUGUUGGAGUGGUGCAGCACAUAGGGUUUUUCGAGACCACACUUAUAGGUCCUAUAGGAUCGAUCAUUCUUCAGAACUUUAAAAUUGAUAAGUACUCGAUUAUCAAUCAAACUCAAACAGUGGGUGAUGAAAAGUUGUUUGGAAUGUACACCCGUUUUGAUGGCAAGAAUUAUCCACAUUAUACGUAUAUUGAGGAGGUUAAGUCUGUACUUCAGAAGAUUGAGAACACCAAAGACAAUUACAAAGCGGUUGUCACACUGCCUAAUGAUAAGUUCGAAGUUGCAUGCUAUGUGAACAGAUCUAAGCUGCAAAGUCCUCUAUUUAAAAGUUACCUUGAAGUUAGUGCACAAGUCUUUGCCGAGAUUGAUAGGAAUAUCAGUAGAAAUAAGUCUGUUGCGGAUUAUCUUAAAUUGUGGUGAGGUUGGGGGCCUUCUGAUGUCAAUUGUAGAUGAUUAUAUAGGAAUAUUUUAAAUGCAAAUCUUAUUUGGUAGAUGCGUUGUUCAAAAACUUGUUGAUAUUGAUUUGUAAUUAGCUGGUGAUUGGUUGGUUGGAAUGCUUCAAUUUCUUGUCUUGAUAGUUUUUCUUAUUUUUCCUUCUUUCUUCUAGUAUCUUCUGUCUAUCUGUUAGUUCUAGUUCUUUUUAUCCUUAUUGGCAUGCAAAUUCUGCGGAUGUUUCUUCGUGGAAUGUUUUCGAAUUCCAUGGCAUAAGCAUCAUCGACAAAGAAGGCGUGGUUCUUGUGGAAGUGAUGUUUGAAGUGAUAUCAUGGCUCUCGUAUCAUGUGAAACACUUGUAUCUGCUGCCACUCCUAACAAGGUAAAUCAAAAACUUGUAUUUGCAUUGGCUCUACUACAAGGCACGCUGGGUUGGCAAAAGUACAAGUUCAAGGCUAUCUAAUUUAGGUUUGUACGUGUUAACAAGGGAUCCCAUUAUACUUUGAGUGAAGCAAAAACUAAUGCUUUUAGAGAUCAGACUGCAGGAAUAACCACCCGUUCAAGAGCUAAAUUGGCUCCGGAUCAAUGGACAGUGAUGUCAAUUCUGGCGAAGAUUGUUUUCUUUGUUGGGCGAUUGAAAUUCAAGAUCAAGCUUUGUCUGGCAACGAUGAGGAUAGUGACUGGGAGGAAGUUCAAGAUCAGGGAGCUUGGCAGACCAAGAUCAGUUAUACUCGGUUGGCACAACCGUUGGUGACAAGCACACUACUGAGCAACUUGAUGCAAUGUCAAAGGUGUUUAAUGAGAUGAUGAUGGUUAUGAAGACGAUGUUCUGAUCCGAUCAGAUCCUCUUAAUGAGAUAAAUCUGGUUAGUUAUAUCUCGGAUUUCUUGCUGUAGUUUAUCGAGCGAGAGCUUGAUCAUCAUAUUUGAACUUGGUGGUAUGGUGUAAAAGAUAAUCUCUUAGAGGCAGACCCAAUGUUGUUUGAGUUUGUAAACUCAAACAACACUUUGUGCAGGGUUAAUGUUGUUCGUUUAUUUCCUUUAUUUAUGGCAAUUUCAGGAAUAAUUCUUUUAUAUAUUUAAUUAUAAUAGCAUAGAAAAUGAGUUUGAAG